Molecule: long non-coding RNA, 1979 nt
Organism: Mirounga angustirostris (Northern elephant seal)
Lineage: Eukaryota; Metazoa; Chordata; Mammalia; Carnivora; Phocidae
Exons: 3
Source: RefSeq, a predicted model, not a curated record
AGAGGGAACACAAGCAGGGGGAGUGGGAGAGGGAGAAGCAGGCUUCCCACGGAGCAGGGAGCCUCAUGCGGGACUCGAUGCCAGGACCCUGGGACCAUGACCUGAGCCGAAGGCAGACGCUUAACCACUGAGCCACCCAGGCGCCCAUACAAUCAGAUUUUAUUUAUUUAUUUGAGAGAGAGAGCGAGCACAAGCAGGAGGAGGGACAGAGUGAAAGGGAGAAGGAGGUUCCCUGAUGUGGGGCUCGAUCCCAGGACCCUGGGAUCCUGACCUGAGCUGAAGGCAGACGCUUAACCGACUGAACCACCCAGGUGCCCCCCACCCCUGCCGCCAAUUGGUUUUUGUGAGAUGAAAUCUCCACAUGUUGGAUUUGGCUAAAGCAGAGACUCAGUGAGUGGGUGAGGAGUCACGUGUCCAUUCUGGUAAUGGUCAGUGAGACACAUAGGUCUCUCAGGGAAAAAAAUGCAGCCUGGCUUUGCUUGUGCCAAGUGUCUGUGGUGGCCCCGAUGGACGGGGCAGUGGUUUUGGGGCUCCCGACGCGGGUGCUGCCCCCUGCCUCUGCCUCACUGCAUGGCGACAUUUCAGGGGCUGCCUCUGUUAGCUGGUAUCCUCAGCACCCAGCACUAAACUGGCAAGAAAUGGUUUGAUGAAGUGACUUCAGCCAGGCCUCAGAUUCCGAGUCAGGAGUCCCAUAUCCUUCUUUGACUGGUUCUGAUACCAGCAAGCUGUGUGGUCUGGAGCAAGUCUGUUUCCUCUCCUGUAAAAUGGGCUCCAUGCUUGGUCUUCUGCAGGUUUGUAAGGACUAGGCAGAGCACAGAGUCAACAUGCAAUGAGUUGUCUUUUUUUUUUUAGAUUUUAUUUAUUUUUCAGAGUGAGGGAACGGGUGAGAGAGAGCACAAGCAGGGGGAGCAGCAGGCAGAGGGAGAAGCAGACUCCCUGCGGAGCAGGGAGCCCGAUGCCGGACUCGAUCCCAGGACUCUGGGAUCAUGACCUGAGCCGAAGGCAGACGCUUAACCAACUGAGCCACCCAGGCGCCCCUGCAAUGAGUUGUCUUGAUGGGGGAGGAGGAAAGAUCCAAUGACAGGUGCUGACCAGCUGUGAAAAAGGAUGUUGAAAGUUACUGUUCCUGCUGUCACUUCGGAAUCAAAGUUGGGACAAAGAAGCGUUUGGAUUCCCAUUCUAGAGAAAGGAGACACUCCUGGGCAGCAGACCUUCCCCUCCAGCGGCUGCUGGAAAGCGGCUGAACCUGUUCUGUUUCUCCCCACAGUGCUGCCAGGUCCCAGCAGGGAUGGUGCAGUUACUGAACCAGGAGGCCUGGCCACUGGGCAGAAGACCCUCAGCACUGGCAGUGGUGGGAUGGGCCCCAGGUGGUGGAAGUGUGCAUAGAGCCCUGAACAGGGAGGAGACCCAGCCAGACCUCUGCCAGCCUACCGUGCAUCCUACAAGAGGCCCAAUUCUGGACACCGCCACAAGGAAGGGAGACUUUGACACCCCAUGGAGGCGAUUACACCAGGGGGCAGUGAAACACAGAGCCCCUCCUCAUCUUUCCUCUCCCUCUUUCCCACGCAGCCUCCCCCCACCAUGAGGGAGGAGGGAGAGUAGCUGGGAUUAGCUGGGAGGUGGAAUUUAAGUUGGCACUACAUGGGACUGGACUUUUUAUAUCUGAAAAUCACCAGAAAGCCACAGGACGUGCCAAGAUGGCGGGAACGGGUGAGAAAGGGAGGCUGAAGGCUGGAUUUGGGGGGAAAUUGUGAUAGAGUCCCGCUGAGCUGAGCACCUUGGGAUCCAGUGGCCAGAGCAGCCUCCUGGAGGGCAUCCAUUCUGUGCCCCCAAGUGCCCGGCUCAGCAGGGGGUCUUCAGUGAGGAGUGGCACAAAAUCAAGGGGGUGAGUGGCCCCCUGGGUGAGGCUGAGCCCCUGCCCUCCCUGGGCUCUGGGUGGCAACUGCUAAUGUCAUCAAGGGACCGCUCCCAGGCUGGCA